RNAcentral lists this ribosomal RNA (379 nucleotides) under uncultured Helicobacter sp. RNAcentral's name for it is "bacterial SSU rRNA". It matches the Rfam family "Bacterial small subunit ribosomal RNA", at positions 74 to 486 of the family's 1533-position model. The record is from RNAcentral. Lineage: Bacteria; Pseudomonadati; Campylobacterota; Epsilonproteobacteria; Campylobacterales; Helicobacteraceae.
UCUAGCUUGCUAGGUGGAUUAGUGGCGCACGGGUGAGUAACGCAUAGAUGACAUGCCCUUUAGUUUGGGAUAGCCACUAGAAAUGGUGAUUAAUACCAAAUACUACCCUACGGGGGAAAGAUUUAUCGCUAAAGGAUUGGUCUAUGUCCUAUCAGCUUGUUGGUGAGGUAAAGGCUCACCAAGGCGAUGACGGGUAUCCGGCCUGAGAGGGUGAACGGACACACUGGAACUGAGACACGGUCCAGACUCCUACGGGAGGCAGCAGUAGGGAAUAUUGCUCAAUGGGCGCAAGCCUGAAGCAGCAACGCCGCGUGGAGGAUGAAGGUUUUAGGAUUGUAAACUCCUUUUGUCAGAGAAGAUAAUGACGGUAUCUCACGAA